Molecule: long non-coding RNA, 406 nt
Organism: Mirounga angustirostris (Northern elephant seal)
Lineage: Eukaryota; Metazoa; Chordata; Mammalia; Carnivora; Phocidae
Exons: 3
Source: RefSeq, a predicted model, not a curated record
CCCCACUAGCCCGUAGCGGCGGCCAGCUACGAUGUACAGGUCUGCGUUGACAAAUAACUCCUUGCCGUGGGCCGAGAUACUGAACUUUUCCAGCUGUCGUCAUCAGGGAAACAGUGGCAGAGGGAAGGAAUUUUAUUUAUUUGAGAGAGCAAAAGUGAGAGAGAUCACAGAGGGAGAGGGAGAAGCAGACUCGCCGCUGAGCAGGGAGCCCGAUGCAGAACUCGAUCCCAGGACCCUGAGAUCAUGACCUGAGCUGAAGGCAGAUGCUUAACCAACUGAGCCACCCAGAUUUUAUUUGAGAGAGAGAGUGCGCGGGCACAUGCACAAGCACGGGGGCAGCAGGCAGAGGGAGAAGCAGGCCCCCCACUGAGCAAGGAGCCUGACGCGGAACUCGAUCCCAGGACCC